AUUGAACGCUGGCGGCAGGCCUAACACAUGCAAGUCGAGCGGAUGAAGGGAGCUUGCUCCUGGAUUCAGCGGCGGACGGGUGAGUAAUGCCUAGGAAUCUGCCUGGUAGUGGGGGAUAACGUCCGGAAACGGGCGCUAAUACAGCAUACGUCCUGAGGGAGAAAGUGGGGGAUCUUCGGACCUCACGCUAUCAGAUGAGCCUAGGUCGGAUUAGCUAGUUGGUGGGGUAAAGGCCUACCAAGGCGACGAUCCGUAACUGGUCUGAGAGGAUGAUCAGUCACACUGGAACUGAGACACGGUCCAGACUCCUACGGGAGGCAGCAGUGGGGAAUAUUGGACAAUGGGCGAAAGCCUGAUCCAGCCAUGCUGCGUGUGUGAAGAAGGUCUUCGGAUUGUAAAGCACUUUAAGUUGGGAGGAAGGGCAGUAAGUUAAUACCUUGCUGUUUUGACGUUACCAACAGAAUAAGCACCGGCUAACUUCGUG
This 484-nucleotide ribosomal RNA is filed under the name uncultured bacterium. RNAcentral's name for it is "partial 16S ribosomal RNA". It matches the Rfam family "Bacterial small subunit ribosomal RNA", at positions 30 to 507 of the family's 1533-position model. The record is from RNAcentral.